This 253-nucleotide ribosomal RNA is filed under the name uncultured bacterium. RNAcentral's name for it is "partial 16S ribosomal RNA". It matches the Rfam family "Bacterial small subunit ribosomal RNA", at positions 524 to 776 of the family's 1533-position model. The record is from RNAcentral.
UACAGAGGGUGCGAGCGUUGUCCGGAAUCACUGGGCGUAAAGAGCUCGUAGGCGGUCUGUCGCGUCUGCUGUGAAAUCCCGAGGCUCAACCUCGGGCCUGCAGUGGGUACGGGCAGACUAGAGUGCGGUAGGGGAGAUUGGAAUUCCUGGUGUAGCGGUGGAAUGCGCAGAUAUCAGGAGGAACACCGAUGGCGAAGGCAGAUCUCUGGGCCGUAACUGACGCUGAGGAGCGAAAGCGUGGGGAGCGAACAGG